RNAcentral lists this ribosomal RNA (531 nucleotides) under uncultured archaeon. RNAcentral describes it as "bacterial SSU rRNA". It matches the Rfam family "Archaeal small subunit ribosomal RNA", at positions 468 to 997 of the family's 1478-position model. The record is from RNAcentral.
GGGUAACACCGGCGGCCCGAGUGGUGAUCGUGAUUAUUGGGUCUAAAGGGUCCGUAGCCGGUUUGGUCAGUCCUCCGGGAAAUCUGAUAGCUCAACUAUUAGGCUUUCGGGGGAUACUGCCAGACUUGGAACCGGGAGAGGUAAGAGGUACUACAGGGGUAGGAGUGAAAUCUUGUAAUCCCUGUGGGACCACCUGUGGCGAAGGCGUCUUACCAGAACGGGUUCGACGGUGAGGGACGAAAGCUGGGGGCACGAACCGGAUUAGAUACCCGGGUAGUCCCAGCCGUAAACGAUGCUCGCUAGGUGUCAGGCAUGGCGCGACCGUGUCUGGUGCCGCGGGGAAGCCGUGAAGCGAGCCACCUGGGAAGUACGGCCGCAAGGCUGAAACUUAAAGGAAUUGGCGGGGGAGCACAACAACGGGUGGAGCCCUGCGGUUUAAUUGGACUCAACGCCGGACAACUCACCGGGGGCGACAGCAAUAUGUAGGCCAAGCUGAAGACUUUGCCUGAAUCGCUGAGAAGAGGUGCAUGG